GCUAGUCUGUUGGCCUGACGUCAGAUGUCGCUUUCACAAACCCCCCCGGGGGCUGAAGAAGGCUCUCCGCUGCUCUGAUGGGCCAGCCCAGUCCUGGCCCAGCUCCCUGGAGAGGCACCCGCAUCCUCUGGGCUGAGCUGUAGCUCCUGUGACGCUGACUUCCAGGCAUGAGGUGGCUCCUGCCCUGGACGCUGGCAGCCGUGGCAGUCCUGAUGGUGGGCAACAUCCUGGCCACGGCCCUCUCUCCAACCCCCACAACCAUGACCUUCACCCCAGCACCACUGGAGGAAACGAUUACACGGCCGGAAUUCUGCAAGUGGCCGUGUGAGUGCCCACAAGCCCCACCUCGCUGCCCACUGGGUGUCAGCCUAAUCACAGAUGGCUGUGAAUGCUGUAAGAUAUGUGCCCAGCAGCUUGGGGACAACUGCACAGAGGCUGCCGUCUGUGACCCACACCGGGGCCUCUACUGCGAUUACAGUGGGGACCGCCCGAGAGGUGGUCGGUGUGGGCUGUGUCCUGGAUGGCGUGCGCUACACCAAUGGAGAGUCCUUCCAACCCAACUGCAGGUACAACUGCACCUGUAUUGAUGGCACCGUGGGCUGCACACCACUGUGCCUGAGCCCCAGGCCCCCACGCCUCUGGUGCCGCCAGCCCCGUCACGUGAGAGUCCCUGGCCAGUGCUGUGAACAAUGGGUAUGUGAUGAUGAUGCCAG
This 713-nucleotide long non-coding RNA is filed under the name Rattus norvegicus (Norway rat). RNAcentral's name for it is "long non-coding RNA NONRATT026003". Lineage: Eukaryota; Metazoa; Chordata; Mammalia; Rodentia; Muridae. The record is from RNAcentral.